This 507-nucleotide ribosomal RNA is filed under the name uncultured bacterium. Its description in RNAcentral is "bacterial SSU rRNA". It matches the Rfam family "Archaeal small subunit ribosomal RNA", at positions 726 to 1230 of the family's 1478-position model. The record is from RNAcentral.
AGUCAAUAGAUACCCGGGUAGUCCCAGCUGUAAACGAUGCGCGUCAGGUGUAUCGGUGACCACGAGUCACCGAGGUGCCGAAGGGAAACCGUGAAACGUGCCGCCUGGGAAGUACGGUCGCAAGGCUGAAACUUAAAGGAAUUGGCGGGGGAGCACCACAACAGGUGGAGCCUGCGGUUUAAUCGGACUCAACGCCGGGAAGCUCACCGGAUAAGACAGCUGAAUGAUAGCCGGGUUGAAGACUCUGCUUGACUAGCUGAGAGGAGGUGCAUGGCCGUCGUCAGUUCGUACUGUGAAGCAUCCUGUUAAGUCAGGCAACGAGCGAGACCCACGCCAACAGUUGCCAGCAUGUCCUCCGGGAUGGUGGGGACACUGUUGGGACCGCCUCUGCUAAAGAGGAGGAAGGAAUGGGCAACGGUAGGUCAGCAUGCCCCGAAUUAUCCGGGCUACACGCGGGCUACAAUGGUCAGGACAAUGGGUAUCAACACCGAAAGGUGAAGGCAAUCU